This 164-nucleotide ribosomal RNA is filed under the name uncultured bacterium. RNAcentral's name for it is "partial 16S rRNA". It matches the Rfam family "Bacterial small subunit ribosomal RNA", at positions 355 to 511 of the family's 1533-position model. The record is from RNAcentral.
UAGGGAAUCUUCCACAAUGGACGAAAGUCUGAUGGAGCAACGCCGCGUGAGUGAAGAAGGUUUUCGGAUCGUAAAACUCUGUUGUUGGAGAAGAACGUAUUUGAUAGUAACUGAUCAGGUAGUGACGAUAUCCAACCAGAAAGCCACGGCUAACUACGUGCCAG